RNAcentral lists this ribosomal RNA (483 nucleotides) under uncultured bacterium. RNAcentral's name for it is "partial 16S ribosomal RNA". It matches the Rfam family "Bacterial small subunit ribosomal RNA", at positions 28 to 523 of the family's 1533-position model. The record is from RNAcentral.
GACGAACGCUGGCGGCGUGCUUAACACAUGCAAGUCGAACGAUGAACUUGGAGCUUGCUCUGGGGGAUUAGUGGCGAACGGGUGAGUAACACGUGAGUAACCUGCCUUGGACUCUGGGAUAACUUCGAGAAAUCGGAGCUAAUACCGGAUAGGACCUUGCACCGCGUGGCGUGGGGUGGAAAGUUUUUCGGUUUGGGAUGGACUCGCGGCCUAUCAGCUUGUUGGUGAGGUAAUUGCUCAACAAGGCGUCGACGGGUAGCCGGCCUGAGAGGGUGACCGGCCACUCUGGGACUGAGACACGGCCCAGACUCCUACGGGAGGCAGCAGUGGGGAAUAUUGCACAAUGGGCGCAAGCCUGAUGCAGCAACGCCGCGUGCGGGAUGACGGCCUUCGGGUUGUAAACCUCUUUUAGCAGGGAAGAAGCGAAAGUGACGGUACCUGCAGAAAAAGCACCGGCUAACUACGUGCCAGCCGCCGCGGUAA